This 251-nucleotide ribosomal RNA is filed under the name uncultured prokaryote. RNAcentral's name for it is "partial 16S rRNA". It matches the Rfam family "Bacterial small subunit ribosomal RNA", at positions 525 to 775 of the family's 1533-position model. The record is from RNAcentral.
ACGGAGGAUGCGAGCGUUAUCCGGAUUCAUUGGGUUUAAAGGGUGCGUAGGCGGACUAUUAAGUCAGUGGUGAAAUCCUGCAGCUUAACUGCAGAACUGCCACCGAUACCGGCAGCCUUGAGUUUGGGAAAGGUAGACGGAAUGUGCAAUGUAGCGGUGAAAUGCGUAGAUAUCGGGAGGAACACCUGUGGCGUAAGCGGUUUCCUGGGCCGAUACUGACGCUGAUGCACGAAGGCGCGGGGAUCAAACAG